Non-coding RNA from Pelodiscus sinensis (Chinese soft-shelled turtle), 342 nucleotides. The record is from RefSeq and is a predicted model, not a curated record. Lineage: Eukaryota; Metazoa; Chordata; Testudines; Trionychidae.
UGCAAUUUUUUUUUCUGUUUUUUCUUCCAUUCUCUUUUUCAGAUUAAAAAAGCUGGAUGUUUAUGAAGAUAAAUUUGGAAUAUUCAAAUGAAUCAAUUAAGAGGGCAAAAAGAGGCCUCUUUGAUUUUGGAGCAUUGCUUAAUGUCAACAGUAUGACAUAAGGCCAGUUUCUCAUUGAAGACUGCAGCGCCAUGCUUUGAAUUUUCCAUCACAUCCCAUCACUCCCCCUCCAUCAGUUAGUCGCAUGUUGCAAAAGGGUCUUCCCUGAGAUCAUGGAUCGAUGCUUCUGUUCUGUGCUGAGCUCCAGGGGGUGGAAAGUUGCCGCUCGAAAUGGCUGGAGCG